AUUGAACGCUGGCGGCAUGCUUUACACAUGCCAGUCGAACGGUAACAGCACUUCGGUGGCUGACGAGUGGCGCACGGGUGCGUAAUACAUCGGAACGUGCCUAGUAGUGGGGGAUAACUACUCGAAAGAGUAGCUAAUACCGCAUGAGAUCUAAGGAUGAAAGCAGGGGACCUUCGGGCCUUGCGCUACUAGAGCGGCUGAUGGCAGAUUAGGUAGUUGGUGGGAUAAAAGCUUACCAAGCCGACGAUCUGUAGCUGGUCUGAGAGGACGACCAGCCACACUGGGACUGAGACACGGCCCAGACUCCUACGGGAGGCAGCAGUGGGGAAUUUUGGACAAUGGGCGCAAGCCUGAUCCAGCAAUGCCGCGUGCAGGAUGAAGGCCUUCGGGUUGUAAACUGCUUUUGUACGGAACGAAAAGCCCUCUUCUAAUACAGGAGGGUCAUGACGGUACCGUAAGAAUAAGCACCGGCUAACUACGUG
This 482-nucleotide ribosomal RNA is filed under the name uncultured bacterium. RNAcentral describes it as "partial 16S ribosomal RNA". It matches the Rfam family "Bacterial small subunit ribosomal RNA", at positions 30 to 507 of the family's 1533-position model. The record is from RNAcentral.